AAUUCCCUGUCUCUAGAACACUAAUAAAAACUAUCCUCCAUGUGAAAAGACAUGUAUCAUUAANAAAGACAAAAAGACCCUAUUGCGCUUUAUUGUUCCCUGUAAAACCCAUAUACAGAGCAUCAAUUUAGUUGGGGCGACACCGGAUACUAUAACCCAUCCACCAAAACAAAGAGAAACCCCUCAAUUUCACUGACCCUUCAAAAGAUCAAAGAACAAAGUUACCGUAGGGAUAACAGGCUAAUCCCCUCCUAGAGCCCUUAUCAACGAGGGGGGUUGGCACCUCGAUGUUGGCUUAGGAUAUCCAGNAGGNGCAGCCGCCUAUUAAUAGAAGGNUUGUUCAA
This 344-nucleotide ribosomal RNA is filed under the name Konosirus punctatus (Konoshiro gizzard shad). RNAcentral's name for it is "partial 16S ribosomal RNA". It matches the Rfam family "Bacterial large subunit ribosomal RNA", at positions 2010 to 2584 of the family's 2925-position model. Lineage: Eukaryota; Metazoa; Chordata; Actinopteri; Clupeiformes; Clupeidae. The record is from RNAcentral.